RNAcentral lists this long non-coding RNA (644 nucleotides) under Oryctolagus cuniculus (rabbit). RNAcentral describes it as "lncRNA (ENSOCUG00000030240.1)". The record is from RNAcentral. Lineage: Eukaryota; Metazoa; Chordata; Mammalia; Lagomorpha; Leporidae.
CCAUGCCAGCCUCACCCUCCCUUGGAUCCUCCAUCCAAGUCUCUCCCUCCUUCUGGUAUAUUUCCUGAUUAUUCUCCAGUCCUCCUAUCUGAUGAGUCUUCUGAGAAUUCCAGCAUAGAGGAGAUCACACCCGCAUGCAGUGAAUGUCUCUCAGAUUUCUGCUCCACAUUUCCCCCCACUCUUGAUAAUAACUCUGCCAAUGACUUGGCCUCAUUUCAAUUCAUAAUCAGCUCUUCUGUUCCUACCAAACCUCCCCUUUUCCUCCCUGUGAAUUUGCCUCCCCUUUCCAGUUCCCCCUCUGACUUCUCCUUGAGUCCUCCUGACAGCCCUACUUAUUAGUCCCCUGUACUCCACCCUGCAAAUCCAGUCACCUCAUGAUUCAUGAAUCUCCUCUGGAGGGAUAUUCUCCCUCCUGCUGGGCCAGUUCUGGUACAUCUCACAAUGGAAGCACUCUGGAUGUCCAGCAGCCUGACCAGACAGCCUGCUUCAGCCUCUCUCUGUAUAUACUGGUUUCCUCAUGGAAUGUAGUUGUUUCCACUGAACAAAAUGGAGGAAGAAUGAUAGAGAGGAGAUGGAAGGCGAAGAGGGGAGUCAUCGCCUCUGUUCUCCUGCAGGAGGGUGGAUGUAAAUGUAGAAGCACCUAG